GAAAUGCGAUAAGGAGUGUGAAUUGCAGAAUUCCGUGAAUGAUCGAAUCUUUGAACACACAGUGCGCCCUAAGGUAGGUCCAUUGGGCAUGCCUGUUCGAGCGUCAUUUCCCCCAAAUCUCAAGCACUGCUUGGUGAUGGGCGCUUGCCCCGCCCUGCUGCGCGCGGACUCGCCUCAAAACCAUUGGCGGCCGGCAUCCGUUUUUCGCACGCAGUAUACCGCACGAGUGAAAUUAGGAAGCCCGGCGUCCACAAAAAGGACCCCCAAGAUUGACCUCGGCUCAGGUAGGGAUACCCGCUGAACUUAA
RNAcentral lists this unclassified non-coding RNA (307 nucleotides) under uncultured Pleosporales. RNAcentral's name for it is "sequence contains ITS1". The stretch from base 1 to 106 matches the Rfam family "5.8S ribosomal RNA", at positions 50 to 154 of the family's 154-position model. The record is from RNAcentral. Lineage: Eukaryota; Fungi; Ascomycota; Dothideomycetes; Pleosporales.